RNAcentral lists this ribosomal RNA (182 nucleotides) under uncultured bacterium. Its description in RNAcentral is "partial 16S ribosomal RNA". It matches the Rfam family "Bacterial small subunit ribosomal RNA", at positions 1319 to 1500 of the family's 1533-position model. The record is from RNAcentral.
CAUGAAGCUGGAAUCGCUAGUAAUCGCGAAUCAGAAUGUCGCGGUGAAUACGUUCCCGGGUCUUGUACACACCGCCCGUCACACCAUGGGAGUUGGUAACGCCCGAAGUCAGUGACCCAACCGGAAGGAGGGAGCUGCCGAAGGCGGGCUUGAUAAUUGGGGUGAAGUCGUAACAAGGUAGC